AAUUGGAGGGCAAGUCUGGUGCCAGCAGCCGCGGUAAUUCCAGCUCCAAUAGCGUAUAUUAAAGUUGUUGCAGUUAAAAAGCUCGUAGUUGAAUUUCGGGGUUAGUACGCCGGUCGUGCCUUCGGUACGUACUGGUGUUACUGAUUCCUACCUUCUGAAGAACCGUCAUGUCAUUAAUUUGGUGUGGCGGGGAAUCAGGACUGUUACUUUGAAAAAAUUAGAGUGUUUAAAGCAGGCUCGCGCUUGAAUACAUUAGCAUGGAAUAAUGAAAUAGGACGUUUGAUCCUAUUUUGUUGGUUUCUAGGAUUGACGUAAUGAUUAAUAGGGAUAGUUGGGGGCAUUAGUAUUCAAUUGUCAGAGGUGAAAUUCUUGGAUUUAUUGAAGACUAACUACUGCGAAAGCAUUUGCCAAGGGUGUUCUCAUUAAUCAAGAACGAAAGUUAGGGGAUCGAAGACGAUCAGAUACCGUCGUAGUCUUAACCAUAAACUAUGCCGACUAGGGAUCGGAUGAUGUUAAUUUUUUAAUGACUCAUUCGGCGCCUUACGGGAAACCAAAGUGU
Molecule: ribosomal RNA, 559 nt
Filed under: uncultured Glomus
Lineage: Eukaryota; Fungi; Glomeromycota; Glomeromycetes; Glomerales; Glomeraceae
Description: SSU rRNA
Rfam family: Eukaryotic small subunit ribosomal RNA
Source: RNAcentral